CAGAUGUUAGAGGGGUUCCAAGGAAGGCCGAGGAGCGCUGGAUGAAAGAAGACUGCACUCACUGCAUUUGUGAGAGUGGCCAGGUCACCUGUGUGGUGGAGAUUUGUCCCCCGGCUCCCUGUCCCAGUCCUGAAUUGGUGAAAGGAACCUGCUGUCCAGUUUGCAGAGACCGAGGAAUGCCAAGUGAUUCCCCAGAGAAGCGCUAAUAAAAGUUUUGUGCUGUUGAGCCCCAAAUGGGAAAUUUCUCAGGAAGAGACAUUUAGGACUUCAGAACUUUUAACUUGUAGUCACAUUGUUGAUAUGGAAACCACUGACUUAAGCAACUUAGUUCAUCUAAUCUUACAUAUACUUACGAUCUUUUAUUUUUUCAUUUUCUAACAUACCUUGAAAUAAUUCAAAACUAAAAGCAAUAAAGUGCAUAUGAAGUGUUUGAUCAUAAGAAAUAUUUCUUACUGUAAGCUGUCAGUUUUAUAUGCCACACCUGGAAAUAAAAAGAAUAUCAUGG
This 505-nucleotide long non-coding RNA is filed under the name Homo sapiens (human). Its description in RNAcentral is "HSALNT0136676". Lineage: Eukaryota; Metazoa; Chordata; Mammalia; Primates; Hominidae. The record is from RNAcentral.